Molecule: long non-coding RNA, 1109 nt
Organism: Alligator mississippiensis (American alligator)
Lineage: Eukaryota; Metazoa; Chordata; Crocodylia; Alligatoridae
Exons: 2
Source: RefSeq, a predicted model, not a curated record
CAGAUAUGGCAAAUAGUUCUGGGAGGAAGGAGUAGAUCCUGGUGAUGUUGGGUCACAGCUCUUUCCCUUUCUUUCAUCUCUCUACCUCCAUAGUGAGAUAGUGGAUUCGGGGGAAUAAUGUUUGGUCAUGACUACACUUAAGGUGUCUGCUCAGCUACCCCUUCCCAUCAAAACUGAAAUGUAAGUAGCAACUGUACCAAGAAAAGGGAUUUUAAAGACAGCAAGGCAGGAGGUGGUUCAUGGGUUUCUUCUCCACAGUAAGUUAGCAGUGUAAAGAUCUGAAGAGUAGAAGAGUUCCUGAUGGAAUGCAAUGAUGGAAAUAUGCACCAUUAUUUGAGGGUGUUUUUUUGCAAAUUCUUUGUUGUAAAAAGUUAUUUUUUUUCCUUUAUGAGACCUCAGUGGGAUGGCUCCAACUUUUCACUCCUCUUUUCAGACAGUUCUGUAUGCAAGAUGCUCUUUUCCUACUUGUUGUGUUAUUACUCCUGUAAACAAUGCUUUGUUAUUUUGAGUAUGUCUGUGAGAGGGGGAUGGGUGUUGCACUUAAAAAGGACAGUCUGAGUAGUAAGAGGAUGCAGGUUAGCAGCAGGGACAUACUUAAUAUAGCUAUUGAUAUAUGAAGGUAACAUUUUAUAUUACUCAUUUAUAUUUAUGUAAAUGGACUGGAAAAAUAUCAGCCUUGUAGAAGUGCCAGAUUAAUGAUUAAAUGCAUCACUUCUGUUCUGAGUAAUAGUCCCAUCUUUAGAGUCAAAAUAGAUGUGACAUGAAACAAAAGUAUCUUAGCCAUUUUAGAUUUAAAUGCAUAUUUAUAAAAAUGGUUUACCAGUUUUGUUGUUGUAAAUGAAGGAAUGAUAUAUGAUAGGAAUGCCAAACUGUAGGAGAAACUGCAAUAUUUUGAAAGAGCAGACUGAAACGGUUCAGGUACUCUAAGUAAACAGAAAUGUACAUGGUCUGAAUUUCCUACCUGCCACCUCCUGACCCUGUUGUGAUUCAUCUUUCAAGAAAUGUGACUAAGUUAUAGUUUAGAAAUAAAAUAAAACAUUUCUAAUACAGUGCAUACAACUUCUGUCUUAUUCAAACAUAACGAACACAAAAUAAAAUGAUAAUAUGAA